UUCAUUUGAACCCGUUUGGAUUAGCGUGACCUGGAUGGCUGACAGCUUCACCAGCAUGCAGCAAAGCUGUUGCUGAUGAUUUUAGAGUUCUCAUUAGUGGUGUCAGGAUUUAAAUUCAGGUCAAGUUUUCUGUUCCUUCAGAGUUUGCGUCUAGAUGAGGUUAAACAUCCUAAAAUCUGUUGCUUUUUGUGCUUUUCUGACCUAAUUAGCAUUAUCUUCGCCUUAAACUUUUAAAAAGUCAAUUUACUUCUGUUGAAACAAAAUUAGAAAAAAAUGCAUAUUUUGUUUUACGUAAAAAGAAAUAUUUGACAUGUUGUGAACUUUAAAUUAGUUCAGAACCAAUAACAACAGAAUUUCCGCUUCAGCAGCUUCAUUAAACAUUUUUCCUGCAGAAGAAACUGAAUCCAUUCGAGAUUUUUUCUUCUGAGCCCAGAACUCCUCCUGCUCCUCCAAAACUAGCGACAAGCAUCAGCUAUAAAUCCUGCUACUGCCAGUGACGGACAGACGUGGAUGAGAUCCUGAAAAACAUCUGGUGCUUUGCCACAGUUUACUCUUGCUGGAGAGGAGGUCUUUCAGUGUCUCAGACCUGCAGCGAGAGACAAGAGGACAACUGAAGACACCCGGUCAUCUUGUGGCUGACCAUAACCAGUGUUUAUCCUCCUGCCUCUGGUCCUUACAGCACCGUGCUGGCCCUGCUGGACCUCUGUCCAACACUGUGCUUGGCAGAGGCAGCACACAACAAAACGAGAAAGGGAAAUACCUUGGCUGGCCGUGUCAGAGUAAUUCACCAGUUUCAGGAUCCUGCUGGUUUCUGCUGGCCCUUCCAGGAAUUCUUCUGGUGUCUGCCUGGUUUAUCUGGUUUCUGUUAGCCUGAAGUGGACUCUCCAUCAUCUUCAGAUGAUGGCUUGUGUCUGCUGCACCCACUUGGAUCCAGUUGUUUCUGUAUUUCCCAUCCUACACCUCAGACUUGUUGAGUUUCAGCACUAGCAGUAGAUCCCUACGGUCUUCUUCCCCGUUUCUUUGAACCAUUCCAAGAACAAGAUAUAAACACUAGGGCGACCGGGCUUUCUGAGCAGCAGCACCCCGACUGUGCAACCAGCUCCAUCUCUCACCCUGGCCUUAAUUCAGGAAAGCCUUUAAUGCACAGUGAUGUAGACUCAUAUUGGUGCUUUCAUCUGACUUGGCCUUCUCGUCUUAUUUGUGCGUACCUUUUUUCUGUAGAUUUUUGUUUUUAUGUGGCCUGUAAAGCACUUUAGCUGUCU
RNAcentral lists this long non-coding RNA (1262 nucleotides) under Nothobranchius furzeri (turquoise killifish). RNAcentral's name for it is "lncRNA (ENSNFUG00015013537.1)". The record is from RNAcentral. Lineage: Eukaryota; Metazoa; Chordata; Actinopteri; Cyprinodontiformes; Nothobranchiidae.